GCUAUAAGCACAGCAAACGUUUUAUGCUAACUGUUCAAUUAAUAUUUUGCCCAUAAAUCUAUGUGCAAAUGUGGCAAUCUCAAGGCUUUAGUCACUGUAUUUUUAUGAAGUAUGAUGCAUUUUAUUUUGCAGUGAAGGUGUAUUCAAAAUCACAAAACCAUGAAAGCAUCUGAAAAAUGUCCUGUUCAUUCCCACCGUGACUGUUUUUUUUUUUUUCAACAUUCUUGUAUUUACAUUUUAAACUGAAUAUUGAGCAUAUAACUCCAGUUUAUAGUACCACCAUUUCCCCCAGGAUAAUGACCAAACUGUCUGAAAACAUGUAAAUAUGCUAUGCUUCAGAAACACGUGAAUGUGUAGUGCAAAGUGGUUGAAGAGUUUGAGUUCCUCUAUCACUUCUACACUCUAAAAAGUAAUUAAUGUGACCUUUAGUCAUUACUUACAUAUAUAUGUUGUUGUGAAAUGAAAAAUCAAGUUCAUAAAUACUGUUAGACUUCCUAAUUAAAAUUUUUAUUUUAUUGAGUUCGGGUGACACAUAAAUUAUGCCUCUUUACUCAAUAUAUAAUCGUGAUUUGUCUGAAUUUAAAAUCUUCUUUUAAUCAAAAAACAAUAUAAUUUUAAGUUCUGUCGAUGUAAAAUACAACUUGAUGAUGUGUAAACAGCUCACAGUUCCCUUCUUCUACUCAAGCGGACAUAUUCAACAGCACGUGUUCAAGGUUUAUCAAGAGCUGUGUUCGUCGCGAACGGACAAAGGCUCAAACCAUCAUCUUUUCCUGGUAUCGAAUACCAAGGGACCUUCUGAAGUAAGCUUUAACAAGAUGAGGAGGAGCUCAACGCAGACCUUGCAAUGCAAAUCAUGAAGAUUGCUAUCAUUGGUGAUGGGCCUGCAACCAUCAUCGUUGAGGGAUCCAAGAUCCUGGAGAGGAUUGAUGUUGCCAGAUCCUGUGCUUUGAUGAUGGGAGUAAUCUACGCUCUGAACCUUACCUAUCCCAAGCAGCUGAAAUUUACCUUUGAGGUAUUUCAAAAGCUAUGCCUUGAGCUUGAUGGACAAAAAGCCAGCUCUAAAGUAAUGAAUCUUAAGUUUGGUAUUUUCUAAGGCAGACUUGAUAGACCAUUCGUGAGUGAGUUUCACAAAAACCUUAUUCCUGCAUUUCUGGCACUACAUCAAUGUGUUUUACUAAAUUUUAAAGUGCUGUUCUUAAGUCUUCUGAGUUAAUGUUUUGCCGUGUCUUAAAUGCUGUUAUUUGCACAUUUUUAAGGAAUGCGUUUAAUUUCUCCCAUGACCUGUGUUCUGAGGGUACUGGUGUGUUUUAAAGUUUGUGUAAUGCCCUCUUUAGCUGGCCUUAAUCUUGAGGGUGAAAAGUCAAAUAUAGAAGAGAAUCAAGAAUACUUUGUAAGAGUGCUGACAAAGUUGAAUGAAAGAAGCUUUGCUCAUUUUAUGUUUAAAUUAGUGCAUUUAAUGUCUGCCUGUCAUCUUUUGUUUUGAUUCACUGUCACAUGUUAAAGUAAAAAAAAAAAAGAGGAUUCAAGUAGUAGCUUGUAUUACAAUUUUAAUACACAGUUCCUUAAGUUUCAGCGGGCAAUUUGUGUUCUAGGAAACGGAAGCCCACAAAUCUUGCACUUCACACGCACGUUAAAGAAUUGUGAUGUUUGUUAUUGUAAUUAAAUGGGUCUAACUCAUUUGAAUACAUCUGUCUGAAUUUCUAUUCUUUCUGAGCACCAGGUACGAGUCCCUUAGCUGAUGUCCAGGUAUUUGGCAUCACAUCUGCCGCAUUCAAACAAAUACACACAACAUCCAUUUCUUUUUCUGAAGGUCAUGACACAAGAGCACACACAGCGCAUGUUAAGGCUGACCUUCGUUUGGGGAAAAAAGUGAUCGACAAGUUUCUAAGGUCUUAGAACCUUGACUUCUUUGUGGGCAGGCACCACCAUGCAUGAGCCUGCCCACGCGGUAGUCAUGGUUAUAAGACACAGCUUUUGAUCAAGGUUGUAUUUUGGAGCGACUUAGCCUGCUGGGAAACAGGUAAAUGCCCUUAUAGAAUCUCCUGUAGGACCAAAAAAUUACUACACUGUAACCAAAAUAUCAUAUUUGACCAACAUAAAUACUAUUUAUGCCGACAGUUAAGUUCAUUUUAAUUAUAAAUGUGUUUUAUUUUGAUCAAAAAGUUACUUCACCAUACAUAAAUAUAAUCUUGGAUCAACUUAAAUUCCUGUGUAUUUGUUGACAAUUAUUAAGUUCAUGUUACUCAGAAUGUGUUUUUUUUUGUGGCCAAAAAGUAACUUCACUAUACAUAAAAUUCACGUUGGAUCAACUUAAAUUUUUGUGUUCUAGUCGAAAAUUAUUAAGUUAAUUUUACUUAAGAAUGUUUUUAAUUGUGGCCAAAAAAGCUACUUCACCAUACUCAAAAAUAUUGCUUUGAAUUAAUGCUAUUCUGCCAGAAGUUGGCUUAACUCAAAAAUUCUAGUGGAAAACGUUAACAUGCUUUUUUUAUUUGAACCAAUGUUUUAUUUAUUAGAGUGUA
Astatotilapia calliptera (eastern happy) is the source of this 2519-nucleotide long non-coding RNA. The record is from Ensembl. Lineage: Eukaryota; Metazoa; Chordata; Actinopteri; Cichliformes; Cichlidae.